This 356-nucleotide transfer-messenger RNA is filed under the name Moraxellaceae. Its description in RNAcentral is "Perlucidibaca sp002943415 Standard tmRNA". It matches the Rfam family "transfer-messenger RNA". Rfam says of the family: Bacterial tmRNA, also known as 10Sa RNA or SsrA, is named for its dual tRNA and mRNA-like properties. Its role is to liberate the mRNA from a stalled ribosome. RNAcentral also lists the same sequence under 1 other name. The record is from RNAcentral. Lineage: Bacteria; Pseudomonadati; Pseudomonadota; Gammaproteobacteria; Moraxellales.
GGGGAUGACAUGGCUUCGACGCCGGUUAUGAAACCCGCAGGGGCAUGCGGAGAGUGAGCCGCCUCUCCUAAAUCAACAGCUCAAAAAAUAGUCGCAAACGACGAAAACUACGCACUGGCCGCCUAAAAACCCGGCCUACGACCGAACCUGCAUGCCGGUAUGCGGGGGACGUCGGCGCAAAAAAUACCGGAUCGCCUCGUGACCUGCCGCGUGUCACGUCGCUAAAACCCUAGCGGAUCGCCUUCCACGCCCUGUCUCUCGGGCCGUGUCGGGUUAAAUCAGUAGAGAAGACUAAGCAUGUAGAACCGAGGGUAGAGUGCUGACGGACGCGGGUUCGAUCCCCGCCAUCUCCACCA